UACGAAGGGGGGCUAGCGUUGCUCGGAAUCAUUGGGCGUAAAGCGCGCGUAGGUGGCUUCGUAAGUCCGUUGUGAAAGUCAAAGGCUCAACCUUUGAAAGCCGAUGGAUACUGCGGAGCUAGAGUACGGAAGAGGCGAGUGGAAUUCCUGGUGUAGCGGUGGAAUGCGCAGAUAUCAGGAGGAACACCAAUAGCGAAGGCAGCUCGCUGGGACGUUACUGACACUGAGGCGCGAAAGCGUGGGGAGCGAACAGG
This 254-nucleotide ribosomal RNA is filed under the name uncultured bacterium. RNAcentral's name for it is "partial 16S ribosomal RNA". It matches the Rfam family "Bacterial small subunit ribosomal RNA", at positions 524 to 776 of the family's 1533-position model. The record is from RNAcentral.